Molecule: ribosomal RNA, 496 nt
Filed under: uncultured bacterium
Lineage: Bacteria
Description: partial 16S ribosomal RNA
Rfam family: Bacterial small subunit ribosomal RNA
Source: RNAcentral
GAUGAACGCUGGCGGCGUGCCUAUACAUGCAAGUCGAGCGCACGGACGAGAAGCUUGCUUCUCUGAUGUUAGCGGCGGACGGGUGAGUAACACGUGGAUAACCUACCUAUAAGACUGGGAUAACUUCGGGAAACCGUAGCUAAUACCGGAUAAUAUUUUGAACCGCAUGGUUCAAAAGUGAAAGACGGUCUUGCUGUCACUUAUAGAUGGAUCCGCGCUGCAUUAGCUAGUUGGUAAGGUAACGGCUUACCAAGGCAACGAUGCAUAGCCGACCUGAGAGGGUGAUCGGCCACACUGGAACUGAGACACGGUCCAGACUCCUACGGGAGGCAGCAGUAGGGAAUCUUCCGCAAUGGGCGAAAGCCUGACGGAGCAACGCCGCGUGAGUGAUGAAGGUCUUCGGAUCGUAAAACUCUGUUAUUAGGGAAGAACAUAUGUGUAAGUAACUGUGCACAUCUUGACGGUACCUAAUCAGAAAGCCACGGCUAACUACGUG